AUUAGAUACCCCGGUAGUCCUGGCCGUAAACGAUGGGUACUAGGUGUAGGAGGUAUUGACCCCUUCUGUGCCGGAGUUAACGCAAUAAGUACCCCGCCUGGGGAGUACGACCGCAGGGUUGAAACUCAAAGGAAUUGACGGGGGCCCGCACAAGCGGUGGAGUAUGUGGUUUAAUUCGACGCAACGCGAAGAACCUUACCAGGUCUUGACAUUGAUGGACAGAACUAGAGAUAGUUCCUCUUCUUCGGAAGCCAGAAAACAGGUGGUGCACGGUUGUCGUCAGCUCGUGUCGUGAGAUGUUGGGUUAAGUCCCGCAACGAGCGCAACCCCUAUCUUAUGUUGCCAGCACGUAAAGGUGGGAACUCAUGAGAGACUGCCGCAGACAAUGCGGAGGAAGGCGGGGAUGACGUCAAAUCAUCAUGCCCCUUAUGACCUGGGCUACACACGUACUACAAUGGGAGUUAAUAGACGGAAGCGAGAUCGCGAGAUGGAGCAAACCCGAGAAACACUCUCUCAGUUCGGAUCGUAGGCUGCAACUCGCCUACGUGAAGUCGGAAUCGCUAGUAAUCGCAGGUCAGCAUACUGCGGUGAAUACGUUCCCGGGCCUUGUACACACCGC
Molecule: ribosomal RNA, 619 nt
Filed under: uncultured bacterium
Lineage: Bacteria
Description: bacterial SSU rRNA
Rfam family: Bacterial small subunit ribosomal RNA
Source: RNAcentral